Mauremys mutica (yellowpond turtle) is the source of this 751-nucleotide long non-coding RNA. RefSeq lists it as uncharacterized. NCBI's taxonomy places the organism in Eukaryota, Metazoa, Chordata, Testudines, Geoemydidae. The transcript has 3 exons. The record is from RefSeq and is a predicted model, not a curated record.
UCAAGUUUUUUUAAAUGCCACUUUACUGCUGUCAACUCUUCAGAUCCAGCUCAGCUGUGCAAGUGAGCUUGCAGCUGUUCCUUCUCAAUAUUGUUACUACUAAGUACCAGUUAUCAGGCCAGACAGUCAUUCUUGAAUAAACCCAGUAAAGGCAGUAGCAAGGUUAGGACAGGUAUCAUUAGGAGCUUAAUUGGAUGUUUAGGUUGUAUUGGUUUUACUGAGAGCUGAUUUUGGUAGCAAUCCAUGAGAAGGAAAGAAGCCAGCUUGACUCUCAGAUCUAAGGAUGAGUUUACAGAACUGGCACUUACGAAAAAAAAUCACUUGCAAGCUGAGCACAUUUGACAUGGAAUCAGAGAAACAGCCACACCUUUGGCUUGUACAGUCCCUUUUCAGAGAGAUGAAUGCUGACUGCAGUUUGAGAGAGCCAACAGUAGAUGGUAGCAGAUCACAACUUCCAGAGCCAGUUUCUUAUUGAAAAGGCCCUUUGGAGAAGGCCUCUUGGGUGGGGCUUGCAUCAUGGCUUGUCAAGACAAUUGGUGCUUUGGCGCACCCCCUGCUUGGAAAAUGCUGCUGACCCUGUGCAGUGAGUCUUCAUUUGGUGGAGUCUUCAUCUGUUCUUACACUGAAGAGUAAAGAGCUGGGAUAAAGGUUACCCAGACUGCUGGGAAAGACCCCAAGAGGUCAAAAUUGGUGCUGGUAAUACUACGGUUAGUGAGACCCUUCUCUGUAGCUCCUGCUCCCUGUUUUUCCU